Molecule: non-coding RNA, 872 nt
Filed under: Scarabaeidae sp. BMNH 1274753
Lineage: Eukaryota; Metazoa; Arthropoda; Insecta; Coleoptera; Scarabaeidae
Source: RNAcentral
GUUAAGUUUGGUUUUGGCUUGUUGUUUUAAUUUAUAUUUUAAUUUAUAUAUAAAUUUUAGUGUGUUUGUUAAGAGAAGGCUAAUUUUAAUGGAAUAUAGUGUCUUAGGAUUUGUGAUAAUAUUAAAUUAUUUAAAUAAUAAUUUAAGAUAAAAAAUUAAAUUUAAUAGUAGUAAUUAGAAUUGUACAAUGAAAGAAAUUUUGAUGCAGGAAUAUAUAAGAGUAUUGGCUAAAUUUGUGCCAGCAGCCGUGGUUAAACAGAUGAUGCAAUUAAAAUGGUUCGGUGAAUAGUAAAAAAAAAAGAAUAUUAAAUAAAUUAAUUUAAAAUUAAAUUUAAUAAGUGAAAUUAGAAAUUUAAAUAAAAUUAAAUUAUAUUAUAUUUUAAAUCUUGUGAAAUUUUAUAAUUAAACUAGGAUUAGAUACCCUAUUAUAAAAAAUGUAAAAGGUUAUGCUUGAGUAGUAGUAGAUAUAUGAACUUGAAAAUCAAAAAAUCUGGCGGUAUUUUAGUCUAUUCAGAGGAACCUGUUCUAUAAUUGAUGAUCCACGAUUAAUUGUACUUAAUUUCUAAGUUUGUAUAUCGUCGUAGUUGGAAUGUGCUUAAAGGGGUGAAUGUUCAUAAUUUAGAAUUAUAAGGGAAAUCAGAUCAAGAUACAGCCGAUAAUUAAGAAGAAAUGGGUUACAAUAAAUUUAUUUAAUAAGGAUGGUUAUAAUAAUUAACAUUAUUAUAUAAAAUGGAUUUGAAGGUAAUAUAUUUAAGUUAAAAUGUAUGAUUUAAGCUCUAGAGUAUGUACAUAUCGCCCGUCGCUUGCAUCGAAAAUUAAGAUGGAAUAAGUCGUAACAUAGUAGGCGUACCGGAAGGUGUGCCUGGGUUGGU